AUGCGGGUCGGGCGGCGGUCAGAUCUGCCACAACCAGAACCGGUGUCCUCUUCCUCCCUAUCCAGCUUCCUCCCAUGGUUAAGAAGAGGGCUUCGUCAAGGAUCCCAUGAUGAAGGUCAACGUGGGAGGCUGCUUCCUUCGAUGGAGGCCAUGAGUGCCACGUGGGCACACACAUGGCUGCGCUUCAAGCUCGACAGAUGCAGGGACGCCACCAUGGAACAGUCAGGGCCUCCCUUUUCCUCCCGUUUCGUCCGAUCCUCCACUGCCAGCCAUUUCCGGCACCCCUGCACCACGGCGGCGAAGGGCACAAUGAUGAAUUGA
Molecule: ribosomal RNA, 321 nt
Filed under: Triticum aestivum (bread wheat)
Lineage: Eukaryota; Viridiplantae; Streptophyta; Magnoliopsida; Poales; Poaceae
Description: partial small subunit ribosomal RNA
Source: RNAcentral